RNAcentral lists this ribosomal RNA (1199 nucleotides) under Melitta leporina. RNAcentral's name for it is "eukaryotic LSU rRNA". It matches the Rfam family "Eukaryotic large subunit ribosomal RNA", at positions 401 to 1266 of the family's 3401-position model. Lineage: Eukaryota; Metazoa; Arthropoda; Insecta; Hymenoptera; Melittidae. The record is from RNAcentral.
GAAACCGUUCAGGGGUAAACCUGAGAAACCCAAAAGAUCGAAUGGGGAGAUUCAUCGUCGACGGCCGUCCUGGCCCCCGUUGACGCGCGAUGCGCCGACUGAAUCGUUCGUCCGAGCGGUUCACGCAGCGAGCGCACGCCGCCUUCGGGGUGUUCCGGCGUCGUAGUCGUGCACUUCUCCCCUAGUAGAACGUCGCGACCCGUUGCGUGUCGGUCUACGGCCCGAGCGGUAGCCUGUCCCGUCUCGCCUAGCGCGUGCGUGGACAGACCCUCGGUCGCCCGGCCGGCUGCGCGACGGUACCCGCACGGUAUCGGGCCGCAGCGAUUUUUUUAAAUCGCGUGCGUCAGGCCCGUCGCAAGCUAGGUCAGUUCCAUACCCGGAGGUGUUUACGGACCCGGUGCCGUCCCCGGGCCUGGCCAGCUGUUGGCCGACGGUGUCCUCUGACUGUGUCCAUUCGAAUCUUUUUUACCGGUCGGCGACGCUAUUGCUUUGGGUACUCUCAGGACCCGUCUUGAAACACGGACCAAGGAGUCUAACAUGUGCGCGAGUCAUUGGGAUCGAUAUUUGAAACCUAAAGGCGGAAUGAAAGUGAAGGUCGUACCUUCGAGUCGACCGAGGGAGGAUGGGCCGCGUACAAUUUCGAUUCGUGCGGCCUCGCACUCCCGGGGCGUCUCGUUCUCAUCGCGAGAAGAGGCGCACCCAGAGCGUACACGUUGGGACCCGAAAGAUGGUGAACUAUGCCUGGUCAGGACGAAGUCAGGGGAAACCCUGAUGGAGGUCCGUAGCGAUUCUGACGUGCAAAUCGAUCGUCGGAACUGGGUAUAGGGGCGAAAGACUAAUCGAACCAUCUAGUAGCUGGUUCCCUCCGAAGUUUCCCUCAGGAUAGCUGGCACUCGCUCGUUCCAUGUUUGAACGCGUGCGAGUCUCAUCUGGUAAAGCGAAUGAUUAGAGGCCUUGGGGCCGAAACGACCUCAACCUAUUCUCAAACUUUAAAUGGGUGAGAUCUCUGGCUUGCUUGAAUUCAUGAAGCCACGAGAUUUUUUUGGAUCAGAGUGCCAAGUGGGCCAUUUUUGGUAAGCAGAACUGGCGCUGUGGGAUGAACCAAACGUGGAGUUAAGGCGCCCAAGUCGACGCUUAUGGGAUACCAUGAAAGGCGUUGGUUGCUUAAGACAGCAGGACGGUGGCCAUGGAAGUCGGAA